UACGAAGGGGGCGAGCGUUGUUCGGAUUUACUGGGCGUAAAGCGCGUGUAGGCGGUCCGGUAAGUCCGCUGUGAAAGUCGGGGGCUCAACCCUCGGAUGCCGGUGGAUACUGUCGGGCUUGAGUACGGAAGAGGCGAGUGGAAUUCCUGGUGUAGCGGUGAAAUGCGUAGAGAUCAGCAGGAACACCCGUGGCGAAGGCGGCCCCCUGGGCCGAACCUGACGCUGAGGCGCGAAGGCUAGGGGAGCGAACGGG
Molecule: ribosomal RNA, 253 nt
Filed under: uncultured bacterium
Lineage: Bacteria
Description: partial 16S ribosomal RNA
Rfam family: Bacterial small subunit ribosomal RNA
Source: RNAcentral